AACGAACGCUGGCGGCAUGCCUAUCACAUGCAAGUCGAACGAGAAAUUCGGGUCUGGUGGCGCACGGGUGCGUAACGCGUGGGAACCUGCCCUAAGGGUCGGAAUCACUCCCCGAACGGGGUGCUAAUACCGGUUAUUGUCUUCGGACCCAAGUUUUAUCGCCUUUGGAUGGGCCCGCGUUGGAUUAGCUAGUUGGUAGGGUAAAAGCCUCCCCAGGCGACGAUCCAUAGCUGGUCUGAGAGGAGGAUCCGCCAGGCUGGAGCUGAGACACGGCCCAGACUCCUACGGGAGGCAGCAGUGGGGUAUGGUGGACGAGGGGCGAAAGCCUGAUCCAGCAAUGUCGCGUGUGUGAUGAAGGCCGUAGGGUUGCAAUGCUCUUUGACCCGAGACGAUAAUGACAGUACCGGGAGAAUAAGCUCCGGCUAACUCCGUG
This 433-nucleotide ribosomal RNA is filed under the name uncultured bacterium. RNAcentral's name for it is "partial 16S ribosomal RNA". It matches the Rfam family "Bacterial small subunit ribosomal RNA", at positions 29 to 507 of the family's 1533-position model. The record is from RNAcentral.